Molecule: ribosomal RNA, 916 nt
Filed under: Pyrenophora graminea
Lineage: Eukaryota; Fungi; Ascomycota; Dothideomycetes; Pleosporales; Pleosporaceae
Description: LSU rRNA
Rfam family: Eukaryotic large subunit ribosomal RNA
Source: RNAcentral
GCAUAUCAAUAAGCGGAGGAAAAGAAACCAACAGGGAUUGCCCUAGUAACGGCGAGUGAAGCGGCAACAGCUCAAAUUUGAAAUCUGGCUCUUUUAGAGUCCGAGUUGUAAUUUGCAGAGGGCGCUUUGGCUUUGGCAGCGGUCCAAGUUCCUUGGAACAGGACGUCACAGAGGGUGAGAAUCCCGUACGUGGUCGCUAGCUAUUGCCGUGUAAAGCCCCUUCGACGAGUCGAGUUGUUUGGGAAUGCAGCUCUAAAUGGGAGGUAAAUUUCUUCUAAAGCUAAAUACUGGCCAGAGACCGAUAGCGCACAAGUAGAGUGAUCGAAAGAUGAAAAGCACUUUGGAAAGAGAGUCAAACAGCACGUGAAAUUGUUGAAAGGGAAGCGCUUGCAGCCAGACUUGCUUGCAGUUGCUCAUCCGGGCUCUUUUGCCCGGUGCAUUCUUCUGCAGGCAGGCCAGCAUCAGUUUGGGCGGUGGGAUAAAGGUCUCUGUCACGUACCUCUCUUCGGGGAGGCCUUAUAGGGGAGACGACAUACCACCAGCCUGGACUGAGGUCCGCGCAUUUAUGCUAGGAUGCUGGCGUAAUGGCUGUAAGCGGCCCGUCUUGAAACACGGACCAAGGAGUCUAACAUCUAUGCGAGUGUUUGGGUGUCAAGCCCGAACGCGUAAUGAAAGUGAACGGAGGUGGGAACCCGCAAGGGUGCACCAUCGACCGAUCCUGAUGUCUUCGGAAGGAUUUGAGUAAGAGCAUGGCUGUUGGGACCCGAAAGAUGGUGAACUAUGCUUGAAUAGGGUGAAGCCAGAGGAAACUCUGGUGGAGGCUCGCAGCGGUUCUGACGUGCAAAUCGAUCGUCAAAUUUGGGCAUAGGGGCGAAAGACUAAUCGAACUAUCUAGUAGCUGGUUUCUUGCCGAAGU